UUGUCGUCAGCUCGUGUCGUGAGAUGUUGGUUAAGUCCGCAACGAGCGCAACCCCUAUUGUUAGUUGCCAUCAUUCAGUUGGGCACUCUAGCGAGACUGCCGGUAAUAAACCGGAGGAAGGUGGGGAUGACGUCAAAUCAUCAUGCCCCUUAUGACCUGGGCUACACACGUGCUACAAUGGUUGGUACAACGAGUUGCGAGUCGGUGACGGCGAGCUAAUCUCUUAAAGCCAAUCUCAGUUCGGAUUGUAGGCUGCAACUCGCCUACAUGAAGUCGGAAUCGCUAGUAAUCGCGGAUCAGCAUGCCGCGGUGAAUACGUUCCCGGGCCUU
This 330-nucleotide ribosomal RNA is filed under the name uncultured Streptococcus sp. RNAcentral describes it as "bacterial SSU rRNA". It matches the Rfam family "Bacterial small subunit ribosomal RNA", at positions 1049 to 1382 of the family's 1533-position model. The record is from RNAcentral. Lineage: Bacteria; Bacillati; Bacillota; Bacilli; Lactobacillales; Streptococcaceae.